RNAcentral lists this small RNA (722 nucleotides) under Pongo abelii (Sumatran orangutan). RNAcentral's name for it is "retained intron". The record is from RNAcentral. Lineage: Eukaryota; Metazoa; Chordata; Mammalia; Primates; Hominidae.
GUGGCUUGAUUUACAUUUAAUCUCUGCAAUUUAUUAGAGUCCUGUAGUCGGAUUUACUGUGAAGAGAGUUUCCCAGAAGAAUAAAAUUUGCCGAGUUGCUUUCUGGGUGUGAGCUACUUUUGUAUUUGCCUAAUGCCUUUAACGCAAAUUUAUUUCUUUCUCUCUUGCUUUUUUUUAAAAAAAAAAUAGAAAUGUUUGUCUUCUUAAAACAUCUGAAAGUGGCACACCAAGUUCCUCUGCUCCUCAAGAAAACACCAUAUCUGGAUAUAGCCUUUUAACCUGCAAAAGAACUUUACCUGAACCCUGCCAUUCUAAAAUUUACCCAGGAGUUGACUUUGGAGGAGAAGAAUUGAAUGUGACUUUCGUUAAAGGAGUGAAUGUUUGCCAAGAGACUUGCACAAAGAUGAUUCGCUGUCAGUUUUUCACUUAUUCUUUACUCCCAGAAGACUGUAAGGAAGAGAAGUGUAAGUGUUUCUUAAGAUUAUCUAUGGAUGGUUCUCCAACUAGGAUUGCGUAUGGGACACAAGGGAGCUCUGGUUACUCUUUGAGAUUGUGUAACACUGGGGACAGCUCUGUCUGCACAACAAAAACAAGUGCACGCAUAGUUGGAGGAACAAACUCUUCUUGGGGAGAGUGGCCCUGGCAGGUAAGCCUGCAGGUGAAGCUGACGGCUCAGAGGCACCUGUGUGGAGGGUCACUCAUAGGACACCAGUGGGUCCUCA